Molecule: ribosomal RNA, 253 nt
Filed under: uncultured prokaryote
Description: partial 16S ribosomal RNA
Rfam family: Bacterial small subunit ribosomal RNA
Source: RNAcentral
ACGAAGGUGGCAAGCGUUGUUCGGAUUUACUGGGCGUACAGGGAGCGUAGGCGGUUGGAUAAGCCCUCCGUGAAAUCUCCAGGCUUAACCUGGAAAGUGCAGAGGGGACUGUUCAGCUAGAGGAUGGGAGAGGGUAGUGGAAUUCCCGGUGUAGCGGUGAAAUGCGUAGAUAUCGGGAGGAACAUCAGUGGCGAAGGCGGCUACCUGGCCCAAUACUGACACUCAGGUGCGACAGCGUGGGGAGCAAACAGGA